RNAcentral lists this ribosomal RNA (253 nucleotides) under uncultured bacterium. RNAcentral describes it as "partial 16S ribosomal RNA". It matches the Rfam family "Bacterial small subunit ribosomal RNA", at positions 524 to 776 of the family's 1533-position model. The record is from RNAcentral.
UACGUAGGGUGCGAGCGUUAAUCGGAAUUACUGGGCGUAAAGCGUGCGCAGGCGGUUUUGGAAGUCAGAUGUGAAAUCCCCGGGCUUGACCUGGGAACUGCGUUUGAAACUACAAGGCUAGAGUGUGGCAGAGGGGGGUGGAAUUCCACGUGUAGCAGUGAAAUGCGUAGAGAUGUGGAGGAACACCGAUGGCGAAGGCAGCCCCCUGGGUUAACACUGACGCUCAGGCACGAAAGCGUGGGGAGCAAACAGG